This 447-nucleotide ribosomal RNA is filed under the name uncultured bacterium. Its description in RNAcentral is "partial 16S ribosomal RNA". It matches the Rfam family "Bacterial small subunit ribosomal RNA", at positions 354 to 796 of the family's 1533-position model. The record is from RNAcentral.
GUCGAGGAUCAUUCGCAAUGGGCGAAAGCCUGACGAUGCGACGCUGCGUGGAGGAUGACGGCCUUCGGGUUGUAAACUCCUGUCAUGAGGGAAAAACGGACCCGAGACAACAUCAAUGGAACGAGAUGGUACCUCAAGAGGAAGCCACGGCUAACUCUGUGCCAGCAGCCGCGGUAAUACAGAGGUGGCGAGCGUUGUUCGGAUUUACUGGGCGUAAAGGGCGCGGAGGCGGCCGCGUGUGGGUGUGAAAUCCCCGGGCUCAAGCCGGAAAGUGCGCCCCAAACUGCGCGGCUGGAGUGCGGGAGGGGAGAUCGGAAUGCAGGGUGUAGCGGUGAAAUGCGUUGAUAUCCUGCAGAACACCGGUGGCGAAGGCGGAUCUCUGGAACGCAACUGACGCUGAGGCGCGAAAGUCGGGGGAGCAAACAGGAUUAGAAACCCGGGUAGUCC